RNAcentral lists this small RNA (584 nucleotides) under uncultured fungus. RNAcentral describes it as "eukaryotic LSU rRNA". The stretch from base 235 to 388 matches the Rfam family "5.8S ribosomal RNA". Lineage: Eukaryota; Fungi. The record is from RNAcentral.
UCGAAUAAACUUGAACAGGCUGUUGCUGGCCCUCUGGGGUACGUGCACGCUUGUCAUCUUUAUCAUUUCUCCAACUGUGCACAUAUUGUAGACCUUUCGAGUUGGGGACUGCUGCGCUUUCCCGAAAAGUCGGCUUUCCCUUGUAUUUUUUCAGGUCUAUGUCGCUUUUCACAACCUCUAGAAUGUGUUUAGAAUGUUGAAUCAGGUCUUUUUGUACCUAUAAAAGUUAUAUACAACUUUCAGCAACGGAUCUCUUGGCUCUCGCAUCGAUGAAGAACGCAGCGAAAUGCGAUAAGUAAUGUGAAUUGCAGAAUUCAGUGAAUCAUCGAAUCUUUGAACGCAUCUUGCGCUCCUUGGUAUUCCGAGGAGCAUGCCUGUUUGAGUGUCAUUUAACUUCUAUCAACUGCAUCAUUUUGAUGUGGCUUGGAUGUGGGGGGAUUUUUGCAGGCUCAGGUUUGAAGUCGGCUCCCCUGAAAUGCAUUAGUGGUAUCUGAGCUGCUAUUUGGUGUGAUAAAUUAUCUAUGCCUUUGGUAUGCUGGUCAGCACCGCUUAUAACAAAUAAAUUUGACAAAUUUGACCUCAAA